This 500-nucleotide ribosomal RNA is filed under the name uncultured Glomeromycotina. Its description in RNAcentral is "partial small subunit ribosomal RNA". It matches the Rfam family "Eukaryotic small subunit ribosomal RNA", at positions 591 to 1092 of the family's 1831-position model. The record is from RNAcentral. Lineage: Eukaryota; Fungi; Glomeromycota.
CCAAUAGCGUAUAUUAAAGUUGUUGCAGUUAAAAAGCUCGUAGUUGAAUUUCGGGAUCAGUAGGUUGGUCGUGCCACCGGUACGUACUGGUCUCACUGGUUCCUCCUUCCUGAUGAACUGUAAUGCCAUUCAUUUGGUGUUGCGGGGAAUCUGGACUGUUACUUUGAAAAAAUUAGAGUGUUUAAAGCAGGCUAACGCUUGAAUACAUUAGCAUGGAAUAAUGAAAUAGGACGUUCGAUCCUAUUUUGUUGGUUUCUAGGAUUGACGUAAUGAUUAAUAGGGAUAGUUGGGGGCAUUAGUAUUCAAUUGUCAGAGGUGAAAUUCUUGGAUUUAUUGAAGACUAACUACUGCGAAAGCAUUUGCCAAGGAUGUUUUCAUUAAUCAAGAACGAAAGUUAGGGGAUCGAAGACGAUCAGAUACCGUCGUAGUCUUAACCAUAAACUAUGCCGACUAGGGAUCGGAUGAUGUUAAUUUUUUAAUGACUCAUUCGGCGCCUUACG